UGUGCACAACAGCCUCAGGGAGUCAGUCUGUAAAAACUGCCUCACCGGCCAGAGAAUUCCCCCGUUCGGGAUUUCACUGGGAAGUUCUAGUGUCACUUAAUGGUCUAAGAUAUUGUUUUGUUUUGUUUUUUUUUUUACACCCUGACAAAUUUUCCUGCACAGACGAUGUUGAUAUCACACAGGGAGAAGCAUCUGGAGUACCAUGCUCGAGCGGCUGGGCUGCUGAAAUCAAGGUGGCGCUGCAGGCCAGCCGGUUCAGGAAAAAGAACAGGGUCCCAGGUGAAGUAACGCUUCCCGUCCGUGUGCUCAAUGUCCAGCCAGAUGACAU
This is a long non-coding RNA of Xiphias gladius (swordfish), 328 nucleotides long. RefSeq lists it as uncharacterized. The transcript has 3 exons. NCBI's taxonomy places the organism in Eukaryota, Metazoa, Chordata, Actinopteri, Istiophoriformes, Xiphiidae. The record is from RefSeq and is a predicted model, not a curated record.